RNAcentral lists this ribosomal RNA (222 nucleotides) under uncultured bacterium. Its description in RNAcentral is "partial 16S ribosomal RNA". It matches the Rfam family "Bacterial small subunit ribosomal RNA", at positions 109 to 334 of the family's 1533-position model. The record is from RNAcentral.
AGUAAUGUCUGGGAAACUGCCUGAUGGAGGGGGAUAACUGCUGGAAACGGCAGCUAAUACCGCAUAACGUCGCAAGACCAAAGAGGGGGACCUUCGGGCCUCUUGCCAUCGGAUGUGCCCAGAUGGGAUUAGCUAGUAGGUGGGGUAACGGCUCACCUAGGCGACGAUCCCUAGCUGGUCUGAGAGGAUGGCCAGCCACACUGGAACUGAGACACGGUCCAG